GUGGGGAAUAUUGGACAAUGGGCGAAAGCCUGAUCCAGCCAUGCCGCGUGAGUGAUGAAGGCCCUAGGGUUGUAAAGCUCUUUCAGUGGGGAAGAUAAUGACGGUACCCACAGAAGAAGCCCCGGCUAACUUCGUGCCAGCAACCGCGGUAAUACGAAGGGGGCUAGCGUUGUUCGGAUUUACUGGGCGUAAAGCGCACGUAGGCGGAUUGUUAAGUCGAGGGUGAAAUCCCAGGGCUCAACCCUGGAACUGCCUUCGAUACUGGCAAUCUUGAGUCCGGAAGAGGUGAGUGGAACUCCUAGUGUAGAGGUGGAAUUCGUAGAUAUUAGGAAGAACACCAGUGGCGAAGGCGGCUUACUGGUCCGGAACUGACGCUGAGGUGCGAAAGCGUGGGGAGCAAACAGGAUUAGAAACCCUUGUAGUCC
RNAcentral lists this ribosomal RNA (425 nucleotides) under uncultured bacterium. RNAcentral describes it as "partial 16S ribosomal RNA". It matches the Rfam family "Bacterial small subunit ribosomal RNA", at positions 354 to 796 of the family's 1533-position model. The record is from RNAcentral.